UUGAUUUUUCCUGUGAAAAAUUGUUUUAAGCCUUUUAUCUCUACUAAGGUGAAUUUUAGUACAUUGCAUUUUUCAAGGAUGCUAUCCAAUUAUUUAAUUUUUCAAAUAUAUUUGUAUAGAGUCAAACAAAAUAGUCUGUAAGAAUCUUUUAAAAUUUACUUUGUUUCAAGGUUAUUUCCCCCAUAACAUUUUUAAAUUCAUAUAUCUGUGCUUUCUCCUUUUUUUUCUGAGUUAGAUUAGGUGGUAGUUUAUCUAGUUUAUUAAUUUUUCCUCAAGAACAAGCAUUUUGAUUGAUUUAUCAAUUUUGUUAUAUUUUUGCUUGCUGUUUUAUUAAUUUCUACUUCUAUAUUUUAAAAAAUUUUUCUUCUGCUUCCCCCAUCCCCUACCUACUUUUCUGAGUUGGGAAUUUAAUUCAUUUAUUUUUAUUUAUCUAAGUAUCAUAAGUAUGUAGAGCUAUGUAUUUUCCUAUAGUCACUGUUUUAAUUGUAUCUCAUAAAUGUCUUAGGAAGAGUUCAUGAAUAUUUUCUGAGUUUCCAUCUGUAUCAAACUGUUUCCCUAUAGGCUUGGUACUUUAAAAACAGUCUGCCUACAUAUAACACUCUGGGCUCAUAUUUUCCUUUUUUGAGUUUCUUAAAACUGUUCUUGCACAGUUUUCUUGCUUUGUAUGCUGUUUUAUGAUCUUAUUUCCUUUGUAAGUGAUUUGGCCUUUUUUGCUUGGAUGCCCAGAAGAUUGCUUGUAUAUAUUUAAUGUCUAAUAGGCCUAUUAUACUGUGUCUUAGAUGUAUGUCUAUAUAUUACAAUUGACCAUUCUGGGUUAGUCUUCUUAGGUACACAAAUAUAUCCAAGUUUUCUUUUAUUUAUACAAAGUUUUAUUGGAUUGUGGUUUAAUAUGUGAUUAAAUAUGUGAUUUCUCUCAUUUCAUUGUUUUUGUUUUUCUUGCCAGAAACCCAAAUGAUAAUGCCCAGUCUUCUUUCUCUCUGAUGGUUUUCACCUUAUUUAUUUUGUUUUCAUUUUCUUGGAAUUUUUCAUAUAUUUUUAAACUUCUGCUUUGAGAGAAAUCAAUUUUCUCUUGAGUACUUUGAAAUUAUUCUUCCUACAUAAGAUGUUUUUGCCUUUUUCUUUAAUUUCCCUCCUGGGGACUAUCUUUUUUUCGUAUAUUACUUUAUUUAAUUCUGCUUUUCUGAUUUAACAUUUUUUCUUUUUGCAAAAUAUUUGUUUAAAAUAUUUAAUUCAAGAUGGGGUGUUAUGUUACAGAUUGUUUUCAGAGCCUCCAGUUAAAUUGGGGUUCCAGCACCUGUGUGGAUAGCUAAGGGGAAAUGAAGGGGAGCUGGAUAUGGUUGUUUACAAGGUGUCUUUCACGGGACACAUCUUUUACCUGGCAGACAGCCUAGUGUCUAGUUGUCUAACCUGUGACCAGGAAGAUUUCUCACACAGGAAACUUGUUUAUACUGGCAGAUGCCCUUUUGGCUCUUGUCUGACCUGUGUUCAGUUUAUGCCUGCCUGACCAUUGCUCUGGUUCUGGGAGCUCAACUUUGUGCUUCCCCGUCCCAUGUCAGGGAAAGAUAGGCCUGGCGUAGCCCCUGAUUCUUCAGAUGGAAGGUGGGAAUUCAAUACUCCAGCACAAAAGGAAACAAUUAAAAGAUUGUACUUACAAAUCUUGGGCAAGGAAGGUGGGAUGGCAGUCCUCUGUCCUAGGGUCAUGUGAGGCAGAAAUGAAGGAGUCAGGCAGAGAGACAGGGCAUGUGGCAAAUAGUUGUAUGUAUAAGGGAAUACAGUGUGGGUUAUUUUAAGUUCUUAGGCAAAUAUCUGACAGAUUCACUUAAAAGGAAACAGCGGAAGAGUGGGUAGUCCUAUUGAGAGACAGGACUAGCUGGAUUUCCUAAGUCGACUAAGAAUUCCUAAGCCCAGCUGGGGAAGGUUACCACACCCACCUUUAAACGCGGGGCUUGUAACUCAGCUCACACCGGACCCAUCAGGUAGUAAAUAGUGCUCACUAAAAUACCAAUUAGGGUAAAAGCAGGAGGUAAAGAAAUAGUCAAAUCAUCUACUGCCUGAGAGCACCGGGGAGAGACAAUGAUCGGAAAAUAAAUCCAGGCCUUUGUGCCAGCAGGGGCAACCCCCUCUGGGUCCCCUCCCAUUGUAUGUGAGCUCUGUUUUCAUUCUAUUAAAUCUUGCAACUGCACAUUCUUCUGGUCCGUGUUUCUGCCGGCUCAAACUGAGCUUUCGCUCUCCAUCCACCAUGGCUGAACGCCACAGUCGCAGACCUGCCGUUGACUUUCAUCCCUCUGGAUUUGGCAGGGUGUCCACUGAGCUUCUGAUUCAGCGAGGUGCUCAUUGCUGCUCCCAAUCAGGCUAGAGGCUCGCCAUUGUUCCUGCACCGGGAAGUGCCCGGGUUCAUCCUAAUUAGGCUGAACACUAGUCUCUGGGUUCCAUGGUUCUCUUCCGUGACCCACAGCUUCUAAUAGAGCUAUAACACUUACCGCAUGGCCCAAGGUUCCAUUCCUUGGAAUCCCUGAGGCCAAGAACCCCACGUCAGAGAACAAAAGGCUUGCUGCCAUCUUGGGAGCAGCCGGCCCCAUCUUGGGAGUGGCCCACCACCAUCUUGGGAGCUCUAAGAACAAAGACCUGCUGGUAACACUAUCUCUGGCCACCUAUCUCUGGCCUAUCUAUCUCUGGUUCCUAUCUCUGGCCAUGGCUUGAGCCAUUUGGGUGCAGUGAACAGGAAACUGUAAAGAGUGACAGCCCUGCUUCUACAAAAUGGAUGCCAAGUUGUUCCUGCGCGCUCACUCUCUCUCCUGCCACCUUGUGAUGAAGAUGCCUGCUUCCUCUUCUGUCAUGAUUGUGCUAUAUCAAUGAUCAUGGGCCCUAUUUCCCCAUUCUACUUUCUUUAUGAUGGUGAGCCAAGAACAGGACACACACAAUGCCAAUGCAUUUGUAGUUGAUACUACAUUUGUGGUCUCAUGGAAAGAGCACAGGAUGCAGAAUUAGUAUGCACAGAGGUUACACCUCCUCCCUCCUUAAAUAGCACUUAGUGUAAUUGAUGCCAAGUUAAUCCCUGUGCUGCCAAGAGAAGUGUCCAUGGGGUAGGAACCGCAUGCUGUUUUACCUGUGCUUAAAGAGGAAAGUGUCACGCGUCUCUGAAGAAACAAUGUUGACUGAAAAAUAGCGCCAAGUCUCAAACAAGAUCUUUGUGAAAAAUAAAGCAUGAAGCACAAAAUGAGAGAAUGACUAAAACUGAGGCUUAGUUAUGCAAGUUGUCUCCAGUCACACAACUGAAGACUUUUUUAAAUAGCCAGAAGUGGUGAAUUUGACAGUAAAGGACAAGAAGAGAAAGUUCUCAGACCUGAACAGGAAAAAAUGGUGCCUGGACACUACAAACAAUCUUCAUGUGCACUGAUCGGACAAUAAGUGAAUGGGUAAAUUUCUUUUCUCUAUCCCAUAUUCUGAAUCUUCAUCAUUAAAUCACUGUAACUUUUGUAAUAUAAUAUUUAGUAAAAUUGUGUAUGCAGACAAGGACCCAACACACCCUAGAAAAGGCCCUGCAUUAGGGAACUGGGCUAUGGAAAGCAUUAUGUAUCUGUUUCUGCACUGUGUGGCUAUAUAAACUCUGACAAGAUUUUGUGACAUUGGCUCAAUACAUAAGGAACUUAAAUCUAAUGGCAGAUGAGUACAUGCUCUUUCUGUCAAUCCACAGACCACCUGAAAUGUUGCAUAAACUAGCGUCUCUUUUUAUUUAAUCAAUUUUAUUUUUUAGUGGUUUUAAGUUCACAGAAAAGUUCAGUGGAAAGUACAAAUAAUUCCCACAUAUUCCCUGCCCCCAUGCCACAACCUCCACAACUAUGAACAUACUUGCACCACAGUGGCACAUUUGUUACCAGUGAUGCACCUUCUCACACAUCAUCACCUAAAGUUUAUAGUUUACAUUAGAGUUCACUCUUGGUGUUGUAACAAACGGAUUUUAACAAAUGGAUCAUGACACGAUCUACUCUUGUAGUAUCACACAGAAUAAUUUAACUGGCCUGAAAAUCUCCUGUGUUCCACCAUCCUCCCUAGCCACCCAACCUAUAGCAAUAAUUUAUCUUUUUCCAGUCUCUAUUGUUUUGCCUUUUCCACAGUAUCAUAUAGUGGAAAUCAUUCAGUAUGUAGCUUUUUCAGAUCUUUCACUCUGUAAUAUGCAUUUAACGUUACCCCAUGUCUUUUCAUGACUUGAUGGUUUAUUCCUUUUUAGCACUAAAUAAUAUUCCAUUGUCUGAAUAUAUUAGUUCAUUUAUUCAUUUGCAUAUUGGUUACUUCCAAGUUUUGGAAAUUAUGAAUUGAGCUGCUAUAAACAUUCAUGUGCAAGUUUUGUAUGAACAUAAGUUUUCACAUCAUAUGGGUAAAUAUUAAGGAGUGUGAUUUGCUAGGUUAUACGGUAAGAGUAUGCUUAAUUGUUGUUUUUAUGUAAAGAUGGAGUCUUGCUCUGUCACCCAGGCUGGAGAGUAGUGGUACAAUCAUGGUUCACUGCAGUCUCAAACGCCUGAGUUCAAGCGAUCCUCCUCCCUCAGCCUCCCAAGUAGCUGGGACUACAGGCACACACCACCAUGCCUGGCUAAUUUUUUCAAUUUAUUUUUUGUAGAGACAGGGUAUUGCUAUAUUUCCCAGGCUCGUCUCAAAUUCCUGGUGUCAAAUGAUCCUCCCACAGUGUUGGGAUUACAGGUGUGAGGUAUAUGCUUAGUUUUUUAAGAAACUGCCAAACUGUCUCCCAAAGCAUCUAUACCAUUUUGUAUUCCCACCAGUAAUGAAUGAGAGUCUCAGCUGCUCCAUGUCCUCAACAGGAUUUGGUAUUUCUUUAAAAAAGUAAUUAACAAAAUAUCUGUAUUUGAAAAGUGUCUUAAAUAAUACUGUACAUAUGUUUGGUGACUAAUAUAUAUGUACUGAAUAAAACUAUAAUACUCUAACUGAUGGAUACACAGCAUAUAUUAUUCUUGUAUCUUUUCCUAGAAAGCCUUGGGCUACUCUAAAUCUGUAAUACGUAUUUCAACUUCUCUACUUACAUGUACUAUAUUAUAGCAAUUUCUAUUGAGUUAUAAUCCAUAUUCACUCUCCUGAUUUGCUAAAGUCACAGAGGCUUUCAUCCCUAGUUUCUAAAGUGCUAAUACUAGUUUUUUCAGGCUUGUUUUUAACUUUUAUUUUAAGUUCAGGGGUACAUAUGCAGGUUUGUUACAUAGGUUAAUUGUGUAUCAUGGGGAUCUAAUGUACAGAUUAUUUCAUCACCCAGGUAAUAGGCAUAGUAUCCAAUAGGUAGGAGUUGAUUUUUUGUAUAACGUGUAAGGAAGAGGUCCAGUUUCGAUUUUCUGUAUAUGGCUAGCCAUUUACCCUAGCAUCAUUUAUUGAAUACAGAGUCCUUUCCUCAUUGCUUGUUUUUUGUUGACUUUGUCAAAGAUCAGAUGAUGUUAGCUGUACAGCUUUAUUUUUGGGCUCUCCAUUCUGUCGUAUUGGUCUAUUAUCUGUUUUUGUACCAGUACUAUGCUGUUUUGGUUACUGUAGCCUUGUAAUAACAGUUUGAAGUUGGGUUAACAUGAUGCCUCUAGCUUUGUUCUUUUUGUUUAUGAUUGCCUUGGCUAUUCAAACUCUUUUUUGGUUCCAUAUGAAUUUUAAAAUAGUUUUUCCUAAUUCUAAUUCCUUCCCAAUUCAAGCAGUUUCCCAGCUUCCCUGUCACAUCCUUGGGUAAUUUCCCACUGCCACUCACCGCAUACUAGACAUAAUUAAAUAUUUUAAUGUGCACUCACUGUUUUUUUUAUGGAGUACAGAGUAUA
RNAcentral lists this long non-coding RNA (5795 nucleotides) under Homo sapiens (human). RNAcentral's name for it is "HSALNT0058644". The record is from RNAcentral. Lineage: Eukaryota; Metazoa; Chordata; Mammalia; Primates; Hominidae.